This 5367-nucleotide long non-coding RNA is filed under the name Sus scrofa (pig). RNAcentral describes it as "lncRNA (ENSSSCG00015054975.1)". Lineage: Eukaryota; Metazoa; Chordata; Mammalia; Artiodactyla; Suidae. The record is from RNAcentral.
UUAUUAAAGAUAUUAAGUUUAAUGACAUGAUUCACAUGAAGCACUGUAAAAAAUAUGUACAAAUUCUUGAUGCCAAUACCAUUUUUUAUAAUAAUUUUUUAUAUAAAAAAAUAUGGUUAAGAAUCAAAACUGUACAAAAACUGGAUCUUCUAAUCCCCUGCAGAUUUUAAUCACAGCUGCUCCACACUGCCACCUAGACAGAAAAACAGUGGCCUGGUAAUGUCUCAUUCUCAAUAGGUAGAAACUAGAAGGAAAAAAAAAAGAUUAAUUAGUUAAAAAUAAGUAAAUAAAGCUGAAAUUAGAAGAAAGGGAACACAAUCCGAGUAUGAUAAAUGUUUGUGAGUGGCAUGAAGGAAGAAGAAUUUGUUUUUCAACGAAAUGAAGAUAUUUUUGAAAAGUGAUAAUCAAGCUCAAAUGCUAAAACCCAAACUGUUGUCAGAUCAUUAUAAAGAAUGUAGAAUAAAAUUAGGACAGAAUACAUAAUUAUCAGUGACUUAGAAUUUCCCUUUCCUAGAACUUAAUAAUUCACCACAUUUACAGUGAACAUAGGAGUUCCCUGGUGGCUCAGCAGAUUAAGGAUCUGACAUUGUCACUGCUGUGGCUCUGGUUACUGCUGUGGUACAGGUUCAAUCCCUAGACCUGGAAAUGCACAUGCCAGGGUAAUGGCCAAAAAAUAAAAAAUAAUAUCUUCCAAAAAACUUAUUCUUUCCUCUUCCAGUUUUAAGUAGCUAUUGAUCCCAGAGUUAAAAUUUUAAAUUACUUAAUAAGCCCCAGUUAUGCAAAUUUGUCUAUCAACUUCUUUUCAAAGAAGGAAUUUGUUUGCUUUUUCUUUUUUAGUUACCUAUAACAAGUCUUAAUGUAAAAUAUAAUUGCUUGUGUCUUGUUUUCCUGACUCUUUAGUUCCAUUGGGAUUACUUUUUUAGGCAGGAAGUUAAUUUUUUAUCUAAUACAAUGAAACAUAAUAGAAAACACUAUUAUUUUUAAAAGACAGAUAUUUCAUUCCUCCAAAAUUAAGAUUCAUUGUAAAGUAUAUCAAAAGAAAUACUGGGAAUAUUUGUCUCAGUUCAUUCAACUUUAAUUUGUUUUUCCAUAGACUAAUGGAGAGUGCCAAGUACAACAUAGUAAAUUAGUUUAGGCUAUAUGUCCAUUAGUGCUUCAGACUAACAAAUACUCUACAUCAAGGUUUACAGCCCCAGAAAUGUGCAGUUCAUCAGAAUUACCUGUGGAGCUUCUUAAAAGUACAGAAACACAGACUCCACCAAAUACCUAUUUAUUGGAUCAAAAACUGUUGGAUGAAGCAUGGCAUCUGUAGUGGUUAAAGCCCUUAAGUAUUGCUCCAGUUUGUAGCCAGAGAUGAGAACUAUUGUCCUCAAGGAGAUUUGAUUCAAGAGCCUCAUCUUAUUUCAACAUCCUCCACCAUGGCUCAACACUCUGGAAUCUGGAGCCAAGUGACUCCCAGCAUUGCCACUUACUAGUUUUGUGACCUAAAAUAAGUUACUUAUGAUGCUAUGCUUCAGGUUUCUUAACCACAUAAUAGCAACAAUAACAAUAUCCACCUUAUAUGGGUUUAUCCUGAGGAUAAUUUAUGUAAAGUAUCUGAAACAUGGCCCUCAACAGGUGAAAGCCAUUAUUACAUUUUUAUUAUUAUUACUGUUGCAAAAAUAUAGUUGCUCUGUAUAUUGAUGAACUGUAAGUUUUUAUAAAUGUUAUUACUUUUGCUAUAUUUAUUUUUACAUAUCUUAAUUUUGCAUUGUUUAUGUUUAUAUACAUUGGAUGAGAAUCACAUGGAUUAAAGGUUAUAAAGAGAAGGAUGGAGAAAGUGAGGUAACAAUUUUAAAAAACACGUAAGGUCCUCAUAAUUAUUUUAUAAACUUCUGAAUUCAAUAGGAAAUCGGUUAUACAGAAAAAUUAACUUAUGAAUAAUGAAGAAUUAAUUUCAGAUAUUUUUCUUUUUUUCCCCCAUUGUCUUUUGUUUCCUUCAGAACUCCCAUUUAUAAAAGUAAAAAAUAAAAUAAAAUAAAAUGUAUUUUAUGUAUAAGUGAUUCUGAUAUGAUCAUCAAGCCAUUGGACCAAUAUCAUGAACUAAAAAGUCUAUAGCUAGACUUCUUAAAAGAAGCAUUUAAUAAUUAAACCUUAGUGACAAUUGAAGUCUGGAUUGUUUGAACUCCUUCCAAAACUUUUUCAAAGCACAUGUAUUAUAAUCUCUUAUUCUAUUUUCUUGGUUACUGCUGCCAUAAAUAGAGUCCAAAGUGUGUUCCACAAUUUCCUCUGCCUGAAUUUAUCUUUCUUUUUUGCACUGGUAAUUAAACUUCUCCUCUUAUUCAAAAAGUAUCACCAGUUCCAGAAAUAUUCCCAAAACUUCCUCAAACCACCUAUUCUGGAGUCCACCAUUCCCACAAUUUUAAGGCUUCUUGGAAUAUUCUAAUUUGUAAGGCUGUUUAAGUUCUUUAUUUUAAAUUUAUAUAACUCUCACAUAUCCAGUUGAAUUGUAAGCUUAUAGAGAACAAAGAACCAUGCUGGUGAAAGCUUGACAUUUUUAGCCCUAGUACUAUGGAGCCUUUUAAUCAUAAAUUUAUGUUCAUAUUUCUUCUCUUUAGAAUUUUCUUAUAUCCCUAGAUAUGUUCAUAUUAAUAAAACUGGGAAAUUCUAGAUUACUUGCCAAAUGCUUGAGGCUUAGAUUUACUCACUUACUUGAGCAGUAGGUGAAUAACUCCAGCGUUUAGAAUGAAACAGAGAAUUUGCCCCAUCAGGAUCAUGGAAAUUUGGUAAGUAGAACUUUUAAAACAAAGUGAACAUCAAUUAUCAUUCCAGUAAUAAUAAGAAAUAUUUUGAAAACAAUCCUAUACAGACAGAAAAAGAACCAACUAUAAUUUAUGUAUGGUAGGUAUUUAUAACUAUAUAAUUCUAGUGAUUAAACCUACAUAAUACAAGAAAGGGGAAUUACAUGUGAAAUGAUAAUCAAAUAUGCUAUCCCUUUAUUUGGAAGCUCAGUCAAUAACUGACUUAAGCAACUUUUUUUUCUUUUUACCUUGUAUGCAAAAUACAUUUCAUGACAUUCAUUCUCCAGAAUUUAGCCAUUUUUAAAAAGCAGACAGAGAGCAGAAAGACUUAUUUUGACUUUUAAAUUAUAGGAGUGAAAUAGGUUUUCAAUAUUUAUCAAGGAGUUAAUUGAGUGAUUCAUUUGCUCUUUCAUCAUUAUAUUGUUAUAGCAUGUUUAUGUGUGAUUUAGUUUCCAUUAAGUGUUGCUAGAAGAUUAAUCUAGUUUAAGAUGCUGACUAGGCAAGCAAAAUGUUCGCCAACUGCAAGCAUUUUUAUAAUUAACUUAGCAGCACAGAUAAAUAAAGAGGUAAUCUUAUAGUAGCACAGAGGACAUGCUAUGACUGGUCUCUGAAGAAAUACAUUUUAAAUAGUAAUUCAUUGAUUUAUAGGUAGAUACUUGUAGAGGGGGGAAAAAAUUCUCUCAUGUAAUGUUAAACUAUGACAUGUUGUCCAAACUUGCACUAUUCCUUAAUUUACAUGACCAAAAAUAUGUUGAAGACAGUAAAAUACAUGUUAAACAGUGCAGUACAUUACUGGUUUGUAAUGGCAAAUGCGUGAAUGGGUAAAGGUUUAUUUAAUCAUUUGUGUUGUUCCAUGUGCAAGAAGAUUGCUCUUCUACCUUUAAUAUUAUAGAUCAAACUUGAGAAAGGGGCUAUUUAGCUUAACAUCACAUUUCUGGAAUUUGUCUCCUUUUUCAAAAUGAAGAAUUGGUCUCAACUAUGCAGGUAGUAUUAAAUGCACAGUGAAACUUCUACAGUGAGAAACUAUAACCACAGCACACCUCGACACACCUCGGAUUCCAAUAUAUGUGUUGAAAUCCCAAAACAGAUUUAUAGCAACAAGAGGUUUAAUCUGGGUCAUCAGCAAAUAAAGGAGAAUUUCUCUAAUCACAAAGCACUAUGGGCUUCACACUGCUCCUAGGAUGACCCUUGACCCCUUGAGAUAUAAGUCAGUCUUUCUAAACCAAACCCAAGGAGGAGACAGGGAUUGUAUUCAAGUAGAACUUCCCUCUGACCUUUGCUUGUUCCGAUGGACUCCAGUGACUAAAACACCUGAAUCCAAUAAUAAUACUCCACUUCCCUGUACCAAUAAUAAUAGCUAGCAUUUAUAUACAAUACUUACUUUAUGCCAAACACUAUUCUUAGUAUUUUAUAGCUGUUAGAACACUUACACUUGUAACAACCUCAUGGGGUAGGUAGUGUUAGCUUUACAAUAUCAUUUUACAGAUAAAGAAGUUGAGGCAAAGAGAAUAGCCACCAUGACCAAGGAUGUGUGAUGAAGGCCAAAUUCAAACCAAGAACGUCUGCUCCAGAGACUACUAAAAACCAUUAUUCAAAACCAUCACACACACACAAACCCACACCAGCAAACUCACUCUAAUUUUAUUCAUAUUUCUUCUCAGAAUGCAAAGAACCAACUGAAAAGUUUAUAUGUAGAAUGCGCUCCCUCCUUCAAUUUCAUGUUUUAUUCCUUACUUGCAUUGAUCUGUGGAUGAAGUUUGAUUCUGUGUAUUCAGUUUAAGAAAGUCAGAGACCAGAUUUCAUAUUUCAUAUGUUCAGAAAUACCUUCUGGCUUCACAACUGGAGGUUAGUGCUAGAAGUUAGCAAUUAUGCUUAAAUGAGACUCAUUUCAGACAAAGUCAAAAUUAAGUAAUCUGAUUUGGCGAUAUGUUGUGUUUUUAGAAGUCUUGUAUUCUCUCCAAACUUCCCUGUCCUGGGGGAAUUCAUUAGCUCACAACUAGACUUGUGGAAGAAACAUUUCAAAUCAGUAUUUUGAGCUGGUAUAUGUAGCCUCUCAGUAGUUGCAGUUUUCAGUUUGGUAAAUACUUCAGAUAAGCAGCUUCAUUAUUUUUUUUUUCUAUAUAACUGAAGAUAAUUAUAUAAAUUAUAACCAAAUUCUAUAUAAACUAUGAUAUCCUUAUAAUUACCUCCAUUAAUGUUUUUAAUUGUCAUAAUGAUUCACUUUUUAUCUUAAUACCUGAGGCAUUUCCAUUAACUCUCUAACAUGAAAACAUAUUGCAAUUGCUCAUGGGGUAUGUGUCUAAGAGACAUCUUUCCAUAUAUAUAUAUGCCUCUUCUUGAUAAACAGAGUAGGUUUUGAAAGAUUAUUGCCAUUCCUUUAUAGAUCCAAAAUGACAUCAUUCAAGUGUGUGCUUUUAUUACUUGCUAGAGACAGCAAAGAAGACAAAUAGUAGAACAUGUUUCAUAAUUUUUGAAGGUUAUGAUUUGAGUUACAGAAUUUUCUCAAAUUUCUAGGGUAAAAUUCCUCAUUCCUUCCAUCAUAUUCUGACCCUAUAUUGAUCAUCAUAGAGAAAAACUCUUCUGUAAG